This 610-nucleotide ribosomal RNA is filed under the name Marinobacter sp. Its description in RNAcentral is "bacterial SSU rRNA". It matches the Rfam family "Bacterial small subunit ribosomal RNA", at positions 37 to 640 of the family's 1533-position model. The record is from RNAcentral. Lineage: Bacteria; Pseudomonadati; Pseudomonadota; Gammaproteobacteria; Pseudomonadales; Marinobacteraceae.
UUGAGGCGCGGCUUACCAUGCAGUCGAGCGGUAACAGGGGGUGCUUGCACCCCGCUGACGAGCGGCGGACGGGUGAGUAAUGCAUAGGAAUCUGCCCAGUAGUGGGGGAUAGCCCGGGGAAACCCGGAUUAAUACCGCAUACGCCCUUUGGGGGAAAGCAGGGGAUCUUCGGACCUUGCGCUAUUGGAUGAGCCUAUGUCGGAUUAGCUAGUUGGUGGGGUAAAGGCCUACCAAGGCGACGAUCCGUAGCUGGUCUGAGAGGAUGAUCAGCCACAUCGGGACUGAGACACGGCCCGAACUCCUACGGGAGGCAGCAGUGGGGAAUAUUGGACAAUGGGGGCAACCCUGAUCCAGCCAUGCCGCGUGUGUGAAGAAGGCUUUCGGGUUGUAAAGCACUUUCAGUGAGGAGGAAAACCUUCUGGUUAAUACCCAUGAGGCUUGACGUUACUCACAGAAGAAGCACCGGCUAACUCCGUGCCAGCAGCCGCGGUAAUACGGAGGGUGCAAGCGUUAAUCGGAAUUACUGGGCGUAAAGCGCGCGUAGGUGGUUUGAUAAGCGAGAUGUGAAAGCCCCGGGCUUAACCUGGGAACGGCAUUUCGAACUGUCAGG